RNAcentral lists this ribosomal RNA (429 nucleotides) under uncultured bacterium. Its description in RNAcentral is "bacterial SSU rRNA". It matches the Rfam family "Bacterial small subunit ribosomal RNA", at positions 33 to 507 of the family's 1533-position model. The record is from RNAcentral.
ACGCUGGCGGCAUGCCUAACACAUGCAAGUCGAACGAGACCUUCGGGUCUAGUGGCGCACGGGUGCGUAACACGUGGGAAUUUGCCUCGGGGUAUGGAAUAACUCAGGGAAACUUGAGCUAAUACCAUAUAAUGUCUUCGGACCAAAGAUUUAUCGCCCUGAGAUAAGCCCGCGUAGGAUUAGCUAGUCGGUGGGGUAAAGGCUCACCAAGGCGACGAUCCUUAGCUGGUCUGAGAGGAUGAUCAGCCACACUGGGACUGAGACACGGCCCAGACUCCUACGGGAGGCAGCAGUGGGGGAAUAUUGGACAAUGGGCGAAAGCCUGAUCCAGCAAUGCCGCGUGAGUGAUGAAGGCCUUCGGGUUGUAAAGCUCUUUUACUCGGGACGAUAAUGACGGUACCGAGAGAAUAAGCCCCGGCUAACUCCGUG